Capsicum annuum is the source of this 107-nucleotide small nucleolar RNA. NCBI's taxonomy places the organism in Eukaryota, Viridiplantae, Streptophyta, Magnoliopsida, Solanales, Solanaceae. The record is from RefSeq and is a predicted model, not a curated record.
UGAUGAUGGUGAGAUCAAUUUUUGAGCAUAAUCUUAAAUCUCUCCUACGCUUGGUAGAGAUUCUCUCCUUCCUUCUGUCUGAAACUCAGAAUCUCACUUCUCAAACG